This is a long non-coding RNA of Oxyura jamaicensis (ruddy duck), 762 nucleotides long. RefSeq lists it as uncharacterized. The transcript is spliced from 2 exons. The record is from RefSeq and is a predicted model, not a curated record. NCBI's taxonomy places the organism in Eukaryota, Metazoa, Chordata, Aves, Anseriformes, Anatidae.
UUUUUUGCUUUUUUCUCAGAGUUGCAGAUUCAUCAGAAGAUGUGGUAAGCCUGCGCCCACCUCGCUUCUUUGGUGAAGAUGGAGUUAUUAGACCUUACAGAUUAAGAGAUGGAACCGGAAGUCAAAUGUUACAGAAAAGACAGGCCUACAGGGAAUGGACUAAGACUCACAAUAGUAGUGAUGAUGAUGACAGUUAGGAUAAUAUGGACUGUAAGAUGCACGUGGCCUUUGUCACAUUCUUUUGACUGUUCAGUAUUAAAUAUUGUCACAGUAUUUCCUGCUGAGAAAUUGGGGAUGUCUGGUGUUAAUAUUUUUAAAAUUGGGAAAAAUAAAGGGGGGGGCGGAGGGGGGAGAGGAAGACAAAUAAAAUGUAUAAGUGCUAGACAAAGCAGCAAAUAUAUAUAUAUAACAAAUACAUACAACAAUAAAAAAUCAUAUAUAUACACAACUGGAUAUUAGGUGAAAAUCGUACUGAAUAAUAUAAAGAUAUAAUAAUACCAUGACUUAGAGUUUAUUUACAGAUAUGUUUCUAUCAAGUGUAUUUAACGUUUUUGCAUUUGCAAAUUGCCUUUCCCAGUUUAUAGUUAUAAUUUGCUAGAUGGAAUGCUUUUAAAUGUGUUCAGUAGUACUUUACUGAAUUGUACAGUCAUGAUUGGUAUUAAAAUGCUGUUUGACUGUUUAAUAUUCUAUUUAUAUCGUAUUUCAAAGCUAUUUUGUCUGCUUUUCUUCUUAUAAAUAAACACAUUUAAAUUAUAUCUAAAA